This 289-nucleotide signal recognition particle RNA is filed under the name Salix viminalis (osier). It matches the Rfam family "Plant signal recognition particle RNA". The record is from RNAcentral. Lineage: Eukaryota; Viridiplantae; Streptophyta; Magnoliopsida; Malpighiales; Salicaceae.
GCUGAGCCUGGCAACGUGGGCUUGUAACCCGAGUGGGGGCUAUAAGGUUAUGGAACGUUGACCCAGCCCAGAUGGUCGGCUUCAGAACAGCCAUAUUCUGGCCUGUCCAUUUCAAGCCGGGAGUUGAGCCAUGGCUUCCUCGUGAAGACGUGGGUGUCAUGGCUCCUAGAGUGGAGGGUACAGCGUGAGGCUGGUUUCACAGAGCAGCGAUUACUUCCCACUCUCGGCAGUGAAAGGAUUACGGGUCGGUGCUGUCUGAACCAUCUCAGCUAGAUGGGCGGGUCUAACU